ACUACGGGAGGCUGCAGUGGGGAAUAUUGCACAAUGGGGGAAACCCUGAUGCAGCGACGCCGCGUGAGUGAAGAAGUAUUUCGGUAUGUAAAGCUCUAUCAGCAGGGAAGAAAAUGACGGUACCUGAUUAAGAAGCCCCGGCUAACUACGUGCCAGCAGCCGCGGUAAUACGUAGGGGGCAAGCGUUAUCCGGAUUUACUGGGUGUAAAGGGAGCGUAGACGGGAGCACAAGUCAGGAGUGAAAUGCCGGGGCUUAACCCCGGAACUGCUUUUGAAACUGUGCAGCUAGAGUGCAGGAGAGGUAAGUGGAAUUCCUAGUGUAGCGGUGAAAUGCGUAGAUAUUAAGAGGAACACCAGUGGCGAAGGCGGCCUACUGGACUGUAACUGACGUUGAGGCUCGAAAGCGUGGGGAGCAAACAGGAUUAGAUACCCGGGUAGUC
This 440-nucleotide ribosomal RNA is filed under the name uncultured bacterium. Its description in RNAcentral is "partial 16S ribosomal RNA". It matches the Rfam family "Bacterial small subunit ribosomal RNA", at positions 338 to 795 of the family's 1533-position model. The record is from RNAcentral.